This is an RNA transcript of Mus musculus (house mouse), 7171 nucleotides long. It is a transcript of the gene named expressed sequence C87436, with no coding region annotated. The record is from RefSeq and is marked validated. The transcript is spliced from 12 exons. Lineage: Eukaryota; Metazoa; Chordata; Mammalia; Rodentia; Muridae.
AAUUCCUAGCAUCCAUAUGGUGACUCACUACCAUCUAUAACUCCUGUUUCAGGGAAUUCAACACCUUUUUGAACUCUGAAGAGCAUGCACAUGGUGUGUAGACAUACAUGCAGGUCAAACACCCAUACACAUGAAAAUGUGUGGGUGAGCGAGAAAGAAAUGGGUAUAAGAAGCUAGGCAAGAUGUUAUACACCUGUAAUCCCAGCAGCACUCAAGAAGCUGAGGCAGGAGAAUCAAAACAUUUGAUUGAGUCUCUGCAGAUUUUUUUAAAAAGUGGUUUUGACUUAGAAGCUAUAGCGACAUUGUUCUACUUGCACUGUACUUCCUGUAUACUGUUCAUAGAGAGCAUCUUUCCGUGGGUUUCUCACAAAGCAGAGAAGUGUCCCUUCAGCCUCCACAUAAAUCUCCAUGUCCCGGCUUCUGUAGUUCUGAGGAUCAAAGGCACCCUGUGUCAACUGAGCUGCAUCCCAGCCCAUAUAGCAUGUAUUUGUUGGGCUUUCUCCAGGGACCCUCUAGGGUGCUUGUGCUGUGUUGCCAUACAUUUAUUAGUGUAUCUUUGUACAAGUGCUCUUCAUUGCUGUCUGUUUACUCCUACUUGGAAGUUACCUUAGCUUGACCAAGUACUAGCAGGAGUAUGAACGGGAGGUGCUGCCAUAGCUCUGGGCAUUAAACCUUACUGGGGAUGCAAGGGAAUGAAGAAAAGACAAACAUAGAUGCACAGAAAAGCUGCUUGUCCUGUGGGAUGGACUUAUAAAUUAACACCAGCUCCCCAGAAACUCGGGGUGUUUAUUAUAUGCAAGUGGGCAGAAAGGCAUGGCUUAUGGGUUACAGGGGUGACAAGGAGACAGGUUUAGCUCAUACUGGUAGGAAGAGUCUCUAUAGGGAACAGUUCAAGGGGUAAAUACCAGGGGAAAGAGCUAUGGUGUACAUUUCUCUGUGCACCAAGCCUCAGGUCCCCAAGAAAGCUUUGUCAUCCUUGAACCUCAUGUGGAUUGGGGAGACAGCUUUGCCAUUUUUUCCAUGGGAUUAUGCCUGGGGCCCUUGACAUUACCGUGUCAGCAGCUCACACAUUCAGGGCUCCAGCCACUUCCUUCAAAGGAGGGAUCUUCUCCAGAUUUCAUACUUCUUUCCUUUUGGGCUAUGAUAAUGAAUUCUUGAUUUCUUUUGUUCUGUUUUGUUUUGUGUUUUUGAGACAGGGUCUCUCUCUAUAGUCCUAGCUGUCCUGGAACUUACUCUGUAGACCAUGUUUGCCUCAAACUCAAGGAUCUGCCUCUCUCUGCUUCCCCAAGUGUUGGAAUUAAAGGAGUGUACCACCACCCCCGGCUUUCAAUAAUGAAGUCUUAAAGAAGCUGGGUGAGGAUAGGGAUAUGGAGAGGUGGGUCAGCAAUUAAGAGCACUUGCUGGUUUUGGAGAGGACUUGGAUUUGGUUCCCAGCACCCACAUAGGAGUAUACAUAUGCAAACUGUUCUCUGCUGUUCCAGGGGCUCUGGUGACCUAUGCAGGCCCAACAAUCAUAUAAAAUAAGUGAUCCUAAACCCAAAGGGGCUGAGGUCACCCCCUAGCAGUGUGAUCAGGAGGCUAGCCCUGGGUCCGCAUAGGCUCAGGCCUACUUGGAAAGGGUUCUGAGCUCCCCUUGCUCCCUCAUCUGCUACACAAAGGAAUCCAACUCCUGUCCUCCAGUUUGUUUCUUACAACGUGUGUCUGGAUGCGUGGGACUGACACCACACUGCUCUCUGGUCUUGCAGCCCUCACAUAAGGUUUGGGCUAUAUUUACCUUUUUCAAAUGGCACAUAGGAGAUCACUGAAACUACAGCAAGCCUUACAGUGUCUGUCAAGUCAUAGUUUAGGUUUAUCCUAGAAUCCCAUCUCCAUUCUUCUGCAAACCCUUCAGUGCCACACUGACUUGUUUCUAAAUGAACAAUUAUUAGGGUGGAGACAGAUCAAAGGUUGAUAUUGGGGCUGGAGUGGUAGCUCAGCUGUUAAAGAACUUGCUUCCAAGCACCCAAGUGGUAGCUCACAACCAUCUGUAAUUCCAGUUCCAGAGGAUCAGAUGUACUCUCUGUCCUCCACCAGCACCAGGUAUGUACAUGCAGGCAUAAUACCUAUAUGCAGUUUUGAAAAUUGUUCAAUUUUUAAGGGAAAUGACAAAAGAUUAAACUAAUACAGGUUGGAACAAAGUAAACACUGGCUACUACUAGUAGGUUGACAGGAGUCAAAGAAGUCCAGUGUGCAGAAAGCAACUACUAUGUGUAGUCAGAGCAGGGAGAGAAGGAAAAAGGGUAAGGAAAACAAACUUGAAAUCACAGCUGAACUCCUGAUCCUUAGAAGGAGCCAGGUCCUAGAGGAACAGGAAUAUGCAGGCCUGUGAGGAAACACUUGAGGAGGAGGUCCACUAACUAGCGGGCAGCUGGCGUUGCCUGAUACCACUGGGACAUACAAUGCAAUGAAUGGCUUAACUUAAUAUCCUGUUUUUUGUUGUUGUUGUUUUUUGUUUUUAUUCGAGACAGGGUUUCUCUGUAUAGUCCUGGCUGUCCUGGAACUCACUUUGUAGACCAGGCUGGCCUUGAACUCAGAAAUCCGCCUGCCUCUGCCUCCCAAGUGCUGUGAUUAAAGGCGUGUGCCACCACGGCCCGGCUUUUUGUUUUGUUUUGUUUGUUUUUAUCUGCUUUUUUUGUUUUGUUUUGUUUUUUGUUUUUUUUUAAAUGUCAGUUGAAAAUUGCAGCCUGGGAGAGCUUGGUGUGAGGACACCCAAGUUGGCUGGUUCUGAAGACAGGGAGGUGAGGAUCACAAGGUCUUUCAUGAACCACUGCACACUUAAUGAGAAAGGAGAGAAACAGCAUCCAGAAAGAUGUUGUCUGCAUGUCUCUCUAUUGGAGGGCUUGACAUUGAACUAUAGAACAAAGGAGAAACACUUCCCAAUGCCAGGCAAAGAAAUGAGGGUUGAUGCUCUCUGGUCACCACUUGAGGCAGUUGCUAGGAACUAACUAGCCAUGUGAUCCAGGUAUAAAUAUGAAUGCUUUUGAACUUAACAGCAAAUAAAAAUUGUGGCGAGAGGAAACAUCUCUUUUUUUAGUUCCUUCAGUUUCUGAAACAAUAUUAGAAAAAUCUGAUCCCAGAAAAGGGCCACUGUAACGGAGAAAAGUAAAAUUUGGCUAGAGCAAAGCAAUUGUGCCUACAGCGCACCACCAGUAGGUGUCCAAGCUAUGGGAACACACCGGCCUCACCUAAGGCACCAUAGCUUUCCGAGUGUUUCUGAAGUGCGGUGGUGGCACAUGUCUUUAAUCCCAACACAUUGGAGGGAAGAGGCCCGCGGAUCUAUGUUCGAGACCAGCCUGAUCUACAGAAAGAGUUCCAGGAAACACAAUAUUGGUGCCGGGGAUUUACGAUUCUGAAGAACAAAUAUACAUAAAGUCUAUUUCGGCUCUUUCCAAGGGGGGAGUCGUUCAAUAAUGUGUAAGAGCGAAGCGAGAGAAAACCAUACAAGCUCAGGCGAGCUCUGCUUCCGAUUCCAGUAAAACUGUUUUCAGCACAGAAUUGUUCAGGUUCGAUGUACUAGGGACCACCGGGAAGCCCUUGCUGGUGUGUUCUGUACGUUUAGGUAAAGCCACAAAGUGUCAGCACCCUGAGCCUUCUCUGUAGUUUUCCAAAAGAGAGCACUCCCCUGAAAUACUACAAAUCCCAUGGUGCCACUUCAGCGGAGGUGAGCGGGCCCUUGGCGCACGUGGGCUGAUCUGACCAAUAACGACCGUCGUUACAAGCAAACAGUUUGGACGUGUUUGUAAAAGUCCGUUUGUAAAAGGAGAAGAGACGCGGCGAGGGUCGUCACCAACGAGAUUCCUAGAGUUGCGAGGCAGGUAAGGGGGCAAAGUGGGAGAGGCCAAGCACCGGCGGAGCACGGCUUAGGGUGGGAACAGAGGCGGAAAAAGUGUUCGGGGAACUGCGUGUCGGACUGCUGACAUUUUUGCUGGGCCCUCAGUUUGACGCCGCCGGAAGUGGGCGUUUUGCGCAGGAUGCCGGGAAGCGGGUCGCAUGGGAAGUGCGUUUUCCAGCCGGCCGUUCCCGGAAGCUGAGCUUAGGCGCGCUCCCCUAAACAACACCGAGGAAUUGUGGCCCGGACUCUGUUAUUUGACAGUGACCGGGCUGAUUCUACAAUCAGUAAAGGUCUGCGAGCUGUGACGUCUCGAUCCAACCAGACAGUUUUAUUCCUAAAAUGGGUAAAUAGCGCCUCCACAGGAUCCCUUGUGUGAAUGCAUGCACUCGAAUACUUCUUUCUUACUUGGGGCGGUGUUCACGUGCCCAAAACAGCGUCCCCACACCGACCAGCUCAGCGGCCGCAUGGGACAGGGGGCAGCCUACCGCGCCUCGGGUUCCCUCAGCCAGCGCCAGGCGCUGCUCACCCUCUUGCUGAGAAGAGACAAUCAUCGGGAGACCCUUCAGGUUUCCAGCGGAGCUCCUUCACAAGUCGCGUUCCUUGUGUAUCCUUUUUUAAGACAGAGUCUGCAAGCCGGGCGUGGUGGCGCAGCCUGUCAUCCCAGCACUCGGGAGGCGAAGGCAAGAAGAUCUCAAAUUCCAGGACAGCUAGGCUACAUAACAGACCUUGUCUCAAAAAGAAAAGAACAAACUGGGCUGCCAAGAGCUCUACCUAGAGGAGUUGGAAUCUGGAACCCUGAGCAAGAGCUUUGCUAGAAGGGGAUGGAAUGUCUGCAAUGUUACAUCAGAACUCAGCCUUCAGAGGACUUAGGCCAAGUGGCACACCUCACUGCAAAUGAGCAUGCCUGGGUUUGUGCUGUCUGAUCAUCACAAGCUAAUGAACCGCGUUAGGUCUCACAGACACAGCUUCCACUGUUCUCCGGGUGCCUUGGCAGCUGGUACAGGGGCUGUGAACAAUGGAACCAAACUCUCAGAGGACUAAAGUCCCAGCUUUCUUAUCUGACUUGGGGAAGGCCACACUGAGGGGAAUCAGGAAGUGUCCCCGAUGUGGUACGUUCAAUGGAACCCGUGGGUUGAGCUGUAAGAACAAGACAUGUGGAACCAUAUUUCGCUAUGGUGCCCGAAAGCAGCCUAGCAUUGAAGCUGUCAAAAUCAUCACCGGCUCUGAUCUACAGGUCUACUCUGUGCGACAGAGAGACCGAGGCCCCGACUACCGAUGCUUCGUGGAGCUCGGUGUUUCGGAGACUGCAAUCCAGACCGUGGAUGGUACAAUCAUCACUCAGCUGAGCUCCGGCCGAUGUUACGUCCCCUCGUGUUUGAAAGCUGCCACUCAAGGCAUUGUGGAAAACCAGUGUCAACACAUCAAGCUAGCGGUGACCUGCCAGGCGGAGGCCACCCCUCUGACCCUGAAGAGCUCAGUCCUGAAUGCUCUGCAGGCUGCCCCAGAAACCAAGCAGAGCCUCUGGCAGCUGGCCACCGAGCCCACGGGGCCCCUGGUACAGAGAGUCACUAAAAACAUUAUGGUGGUGAAAUGCAAAGCCAGCCAGAAGCACAACUUGGGCUACUUGCACGCGUCCUUCAUGCAGAAGAUCAGCUCCAGAAGCUUGCCGGAGCGCCGCUUCUUCUGCUCCUGCCAGACUCUGAGGCCACACAAGUCCAGCGUCCCCAAGGCUGAGGCAGCCCCAAAGUGCAUCCAUUUCUUUGCUUGUCUCUGUGCCUUUGCCAGCGAUGAGACAUUGGCUCAGGAGUUCUCGGACUUUCUGAACUUCGAUGCCAGUGGUCUUAAGGAGAUAAUUGUGCCCCAUUUAGGCUGCCAUGCAGAGUCAUCUGUCUCAGCUUGUGAGUCUGCUGCCUCUAAGCCCCGGAAGAGGAAGAAGGAUGAAGUGUCUGGUGCACAGGUGAACAGCUCACUGAUGCCGCAAGAUGCAGUAAACAGCAAUCUAAGGAAGAGUGGCCUGAAAAGGCCUGUGGUUACGUCAUCAUUGAAAAGGCACGUCUGUGGUCAGCUGUUAGAUGAGGCACAAGUGACCCUGUCCUUCCAAGACUGGCUGGCCAGUGUCACAGAGCGCAUCCAUCAAACCAUGCACUAUCAGUUUGAUGGACCAACAAAGUGGAGUUAGAGAUAGAAGAAAAAAAGAGCAGCAGAUAAAACCUAGCCAGGCAUGCUGACGCACCUGUAGUUCUAGCACUCGUGGGACAGAGGAAGGAGGAGCCCUAAGGGUUGAGGCAAACCAGAACCCCUGGUGUUCCACAUUCCUCAGUCCUUUUUUGAUGCCUUGCAACAGAGAAUAUCCAUAGGAAGUGCAAAGAAGCGGCUCCCCAACUCCACUACAGCUUUUGUUCGGAAAGAUGCCUUGCCACUGGGAACCUUUUCCAAGUACACCUGGCAUAUCACCAAUAUUCUGCAAGUCAAACAAAUCUUAGACACCCCAGAGAUGCCCCUGGAAAUCACACGUAGCUUUAUCCAGAACCGGGAUGGAACUUACGAGCUGUUUAAAUGCCCCAAAGUGGAAGUAGAGAACAUAGCGGAAAGCUACGGCCGCAUAGAGAAGCAGCCUGUGCUGAGACCUUUGGAGCUGAAAACCUUCCUCAAAGUUGGUAACACUUCCCCAGAUCAAAAGGAGCCAACGCCCUUUAUCAUUGAGUGGAUCCCAGAUAUCCUCCCACAGUCCAAGAUUGGUGAGCUUCGAAUCAAGUUUGAGUAUGGUCACCACCGGAAUGGACAUGUGGCUGACUACCAGGACCCAAGGCCACCCAUGGACCAACCUUUGGAGCUGGCCCCUCUGACUACUAUCACUUUCCCUUGAGGCAAAUCAAGAGUAUUUUGCAGAGUUUGCACAUCCCAAUCCCUGAGGACUAUAAAUCCUAGUAGCACUUAUACGAUCCCUGCUAACGAACCACACUUGGCUAAGAUGCAGUUACUCAGCCCAUCCAUGUGUGUUCUGUAGAAGAAACUCUUGUAAAUAGCCUUGUGUGUACAGUCUUCAUACAAGUCGGGCACUUAUUUCUGACCAGAGUUUUAGAAGAAACAACAAAAAUCCAGCUCACUGGCUUCUCAUGGAUUCACCUGCAGCUUGUUUUUCUGUAAUUCUCCAAAAGUCACAGCACUGGAUCUUAGCCAACAGUGUUGGAAAGUUAACGAUGCCCUGGGCCGAGCAGGGUCCUCUCUCUCUGCCCAAGAGCUCCAAUCACUCUUUAUUCUGAUAACAAAAUAAAGUACAGUGUCACUAGUUUUUCCAAA